CGACUGCAGCAUGUCCGUCAGAGCGUGGUCGAUGACAGCCACACUGCUGAAGAGCGCUGGCUCUGUGGUGCCAUUGCUGCUGACCACCGAAGUGGACUUUGUCAGCUCAUCGAUGAACUUGUGCACGCUCGCUGCCGCCGCCGCUGUUGCCUGCUGCUGCUGUUGUUGCUGUUGCUGUUGUGGCUGCUGCUGUUGUUGCUGCUGCUGCUGCUGCUGCUGUUGCUGCUGCUGUUGCUGUUGCUGCUGCUGCUGCUGUUGAUGCUGCUGCACCACGUGCUUAACAAUUUCAUUCUUUA
Molecule: small RNA, 296 nt
Filed under: Drosophila guanche
Lineage: Eukaryota; Metazoa; Arthropoda; Insecta; Diptera; Drosophilidae
Source: RNAcentral